GGGGGUAUAGUUCAAUGGUUGAACAAUUGCCUAACAUGUGCAAGACCCUGGAUUCAAACCCCAGUACCACAU
This 72-nucleotide transfer RNA is filed under the name Marmota monax (woodchuck). Its description in RNAcentral is "tRNA.Val". Lineage: Eukaryota; Metazoa; Chordata; Mammalia; Rodentia; Sciuridae. The record is from RNAcentral.